Molecule: transfer RNA, 52 nt
Filed under: Pallisentis celatus
Lineage: Eukaryota; Metazoa; Acanthocephala; Eoacanthocephala; Gyracanthocephala; Quadrigyridae
Description: tRNA-Lys
Source: RNAcentral
GUUAUUACAGUAUCUAUAGGGAUGAGGUUUUGUUAUUAUCCCUGGGGUAACC